Mirounga angustirostris (Northern elephant seal) is the source of this 753-nucleotide long non-coding RNA. RefSeq lists it as uncharacterized. The record is from RefSeq and is a predicted model, not a curated record. NCBI's taxonomy places the organism in Eukaryota, Metazoa, Chordata, Mammalia, Carnivora, Phocidae. The transcript has 3 exons.
CCCCGGGUUAGGCUUGGGGCAGGUGGAAAGCCCCUUGCUCUUCUUUCCCGGGAUGAUGGCCAAGUCCUGAACGGAUGCUUAGUCCACGGAUUCCUGUCAGGGGCGGGUCCUGGCUCCCUUCACAGAGUGGAGAGCCCUUGGCUAAUCCUCACCACCAGGCAGCGGGUCUUCCUCUGUGCCUGUGCCCUCGAGGAGCCAGAAAGCCAACCUGCUUCACUUUCUUCAAGCCACGUGCCUGCGAAGAAGAAUGUAUUAAGGCUGACAGGGGGAGCUGGAGUCCCGCAGGCCGAGCCCUCGUGGCUUGCGCAAAGGUGGAUCCAGAGUAGGAGGGGUGUGGGGAAGCCCACGGGACCGUCUGCAGACACCGGAGCGCCGUGGAUGGGCCGCUGACCUGCAGGGAAAACAGAUUCGGUAUUUUCGAAGACGUGUCUUUCAAAGCGACUCCCUAGCCCACGCCGACAGCAGAGAAAUAAGGGUCGAAUCCGAAGCCGGAAGGCAUCUCCACGACCAAGAGCCGAGGUGGACGCCACCGACAGGGACUGGCCCUGUUGUGCAAGCAGGACGCGCAUAGGGCCGAACUGACAGCACGGCUACCGGUUACAGAUUUAAAAAGCGAUUUCGCAAAAGUAAUUGUACAGCUAAAUUAAUUAUAAAAUAAUUAGAAUUGAUGCCAUUUGAGGAUAUGUUGGUGUAUGGGAAACGGCCUUCCGCGUCUAGAUGUUUUAUUUCUACCUUAAUGUUUUUAAGGUUGCA